This 447-nucleotide ribosomal RNA is filed under the name Hypselodoris ghardaqana. Its description in RNAcentral is "partial 16S ribosomal RNA". It matches the Rfam family "Bacterial large subunit ribosomal RNA", at positions 1828 to 2597 of the family's 2925-position model. Lineage: Eukaryota; Metazoa; Mollusca; Gastropoda; Nudibranchia; Chromodorididae. The record is from RNAcentral.
AGCCUAAGGGAAUUAAUCUUAGGUCAAACCUGCCCAAUGUAAAAAGUAGUAUUAAUGGCCGCGGUACCUUGACCGUGCUAAGGUAGCGAAAUCAAUUGGCUUUUAAUUGGAGUCAGGUAUGAAUGGAAUUACGUGGUUCAACUGUCUCCUUAACAAUUAUUCGAAGUUACUAUAUAGAUGAAAAAGUCUUUGACAAGAAAAAAGACGAGAAGACCCUUAGAGUUUUUCUGAAAGCAAAUUUUAUAUAUUUGUAUGAAGUUUAGUUGGGGCAACUAAAGAAAAUAUUCAAAAUUUCUUGAUUUAAACUAGCCGACAAUUGUAAGUUUGUGUAAACUACCUUAGGGAUAACAGCAUUAUGUAAAAAAUAAGUUUGUGACCUCGAUGUUGGACUGGGAAACUGAAAGGCUAGCCGUUUUUUAGGAAAGUUCUGUUCGAACUGCUAUUCCC